Molecule: microRNA precursor, 1160 nt
Filed under: Danio rerio (zebrafish)
Lineage: Eukaryota; Metazoa; Chordata; Actinopteri; Cypriniformes; Danionidae
Description: pri-miR-223
Rfam family: mir-223 microRNA precursor family (bases 719-824)
Source: RNAcentral
UUUUUUUACGCUACUAGAAUUAUUUAUUACUUUUUUAACAUUAUAAGUCAUGCCACAAACAAGAUUCAGACAAACUUAUUGUGCGCUCAUCGUAGUGGCAUCUAAUUUUGUUCAAGUUAUCACUACAAAACCACACUAAUCAAAUAAUGAUGUUUUAUAAACAUCAUAAACAUUACUUGAAGUAUAAAUGUAUGUCAGCCUUCAACUGGACUUGCUGUUCUGAUAUGACAGCCGGACCUGUAGGCCAUCAGACUGACGAGAAGGUGUAGGGUUCAAACUGAGCCCCAUCCGACAUGGUUGAUCGUCAGCAGUGUCACGACAAAAGAAGAAAGAGUGUGAAAACUCGGCAGACCUCAGAGCAUCCAACAUCCCGUGCCCCAGAGCGCACACCUCCCCACGGAACAUUGAGUCAACACUUUAGGACUCCUGAAGCUCCAACCAUCGAAGAACCAAGGAACCCAAUGAACUGAUCUCAUCCAAGCUGACAUGUUGAGCCAGGUGCUGUUUUCCACUCAAGGUCUCGCUUUUGAAUUCAGCCUGAAAGAGGUUUCUAGGAAAUUAAGAACCAUUGAUUAUUCAGUUGCUUGCAAUUUCAUCUGACGAAAAAAGCAGGAGGAAGAGGGAGGAGUAAAAUUGAAUGACCUUCCUGCUGCAAACCUGCAUUUAAUAUCCUUUUUUCCUUUCAUCUCUCAGGUCCAUCAGCACACCCCGUCUCUCUCCUCCUGAUCUAGACUCUUCUCUUAGAGUAUUUGACAGACUGUGGUUGACACUCGAUCUAAAGGGGUGUCAGUUUGUCAAAUACCCCAAGAGAGGGGGCACGAGUCUUCAGAAUUCUGCAACACUUCGUAUGACCCAUGCGAUCCUGUUACUCUCUCAUGUUCAGCCUUUUUGUCUUGUGCAAAAUGUGGAGGAUGACAACAUUCAUUUAUAAUGUGCGCUUGAAUUCAUUACCUCUACAUAUAUGCAAUCUUUAUGGUUGAUUAGAUACAUAGAAAUAAACAACAGUAAAGAGUACAUUACCAUUGUGCUGUCUGUGUCAGGGAUAAUUGUGUUAAAAAACAUUGUAAACUAAGACAUAGUUCAGAUAAGCAGUUUUUAGCAUGUCGACCACAAUGGCAGUUGCUGGGUGAGUGCCAUUUGCUACCGAAAAAAAAAAAAAA